Molecule: transfer RNA, 76 nt
Filed under: Klebsiella quasipneumoniae
Lineage: Bacteria; Pseudomonadati; Pseudomonadota; Gammaproteobacteria; Enterobacterales; Enterobacteriaceae
Description: tRNA-Lys
Rfam family: tRNA
About the family: Transfer RNA (tRNA) molecules are approximately 80 nucleotides in length. Their secondary structure includes four short double-helical elements and three loops (D, anti-codon, and T loops). Further hydrogen bonds mediate the characteristic L-shaped molecular structure. tRNAs have two regions of fundamental functional importance: the anti-codon, which is responsible for specific mRNA codon recognition, and the 3' end, to which the tRNAs corresponding amino acid is attached (by aminoacyl-tRNA synthetases). tRNAs cope with the degeneracy of the genetic code in two manners: having more than one tRNA (with a specific anti-codon) for a particular amino acid; and 'wobble' base-pairing, i.e. permitting non-standard base-pairing at the 3rd anti-codon position.
Source: RNAcentral
GGGUCGUUAGCUCAGUUGGUAGAGCAGUUGACUUUUAAUCAAUUGGUCGCAGGUUCGACUCCUGCACGACCCCCCA